CUACGGGUCGCACCAGUGGGGAAUAUUGCACAAUGGGCGCAAGCCUGAUGCAGCCAUGCCGCGUGUAUGAAGAAGGCCUUCGGGUUGUAAAGUACUUUCAGCGGGGAGGAAGGGAGUAAAGUUAAUACCUUUGCUCAUUGACGUUACCCGCAGAAGAAGCACCGGCUAACUCCGUGCCAGCAGCCGCGGUAAUACGGAGGGUGCAAGCGUUAAUCGGAAUUACUGGGCGUAAAGCGCACGCAGGCGGUGUGUUAAGUCAGAUGUGAAAUCCCCGGGCUCAACCUGGGAACUGCAUCUGAUACUGGCAAGCUUGAGUCUCGUAGAGGGGGGUAGAAUUCCAGGUGUAGCGGUGAAAUGCGUAGAGAUCUGGAGGAAUACCGGUGGCGAAGGCGGCCCCCUGGACGAAGACUGACGCUCAGGUGCGAAAGCGUGGGGAGCAAGCAGGAUUAGAUACCCUUGUAGUC
This 464-nucleotide ribosomal RNA is filed under the name uncultured bacterium. RNAcentral describes it as "partial 16S ribosomal RNA". It matches the Rfam family "Bacterial small subunit ribosomal RNA", at positions 339 to 795 of the family's 1533-position model. The record is from RNAcentral.